AUCGUUUGAUAUAUGUAGCCGGCCAUAUUUAGUAGGACAAGGUUCGGUUGUUGUUAUAAAACGUUAAUAACCAUUUUACAGCCGUUCUAGAUGAGAUUUGAACUUUGUCCUCGAAGUUACAUAGUCAAAACUCUUACCACCGAACUGACACUGUCACCUCAUUCACUCAUUUAUAAUUUAUUGUGUUCAAUUAUUGAACAGUAACAACGUCUAACGGAAAAUCACAGUAUCACAUUAUACCUACANNNNNNNNNNNNNNNNNNNNNNNNNNNNNNNNNNNNNNNNNNNNNNNNNNNNNNNNNNNNNNNNNNNNNNNNNNCUAUCUGAAAUGGCACCUGCAAAACACAGAGGAGCAAUCAACAAUGGUUUCCAGUUUUGUGUUGGAAUUGGUGUUCUAUCAGCAAAUUUAAUAAACUUUGGCACAGAAAAAAUCAAAGAUGGUUGGGGCUGGAGAAUAUCUCUAGCAAUGGCAGCAGUUCCAGCUUCAAUUCUCACAUUAGGAGCAUUUUUUCUCCCAGAAACACCAAACAGCAUAAUCCAAAAUAACAAAGAUCAUCAAAAAGCUAAGUUAAUGUUACAAUCCAUAAGAGGCACACAUGAUGUUGAACAAGAAUUUGAAGAUCUUAUUGAAGCAAGUAACAUGUCAAAUUCUAUCAAACAUCCAUUUAAGAAUAUCUUGCAAAGAAAAUAUAGACCUCAACUUGUUAUGGCAAUAGCUAUACCAUUUUUCCAACAGUUCACUGGAAUCAAUGUCAUUUCAUUUUAUGCUCCAAUCUUGUUUUUAACCAUUGGAUUAGGUGAAAGUGCUUCUCUUUUGUCUGCAGUUAUGAUUGGGAUUGUAGGUACUACUUCAACAUUCAUAUCAAUGCUAAUAGUUGAUAAACUAGGUAGAAGAGUUUUGUUCAUAUCAGGUGGAAUUCAAAUGUUCUUUUCACAAAUUCUAAUAGGAAGUAUAAUGGCAGCACAACUUGGUGAUCAUGGUGAAAUAAGCAAGAAAUAUGUAUACUUGAUUCUAGUUUUAAUAUGCAUAUAUGUUGCUGGAUUUGCAUGGUCAUGGGGGCCGUUAGGAUGGUUGGUUCCGAGUGAGAUUUUUCCAUUGGAGAUAAGAUCAGCAGCACAAAGUAUUGCAGUUGCAGUGAAUUUUCUGUUUACAUUCAUUGUUGCUCAAACUUUUCUUAGUAUGUUGUGUCAUUUCAAGUAUGGAACUUUCUUCUUCUUUGGAGGUUGGGUUGUGGUGAUGACAGUGUUUGUUUAUUUUCUGUUACCAGAAACUAAGAAUGUUCCAAUUGAGCAAAUGGAUACUGUUUGGAGAGAACAUUUGUUUUGGAAGAGAAUUGUUGGAGACAAGAGUCAAGGAAGACAAACAGUGUUGCCUUAACUAAUUACUGUAGUUUUUUAGUACCAAAACAUGCUGGUUUUUGGAAGAAUAUUGCAAGAAAGAACAAAGAAAACAAAGCUAUUUUCAGCUCAUUACAAUGUAAACAUAUGUGUGUCUACAAACAUAUACAUGAAUUUGACUGAUUGAUAUAAUUUUUCUUAUAAUAUUGGUAUGUGUACAAAGUAUUCAUUGCUUUUAGCUAUGAUUAAUCUCUGACAGAAAUCUGUUGAGCGUAAAGUUGGAAUUUUCACUUGUUUUUCUAUAUGCAAGAGUCAGAAAUCAAACAUUUGACCACUUGAUUAAGGUGUUUGAGUCCCUUACUACUUGGAUCAACAAAUGUUGGUAGACCAAUUGAUAUUAAACAUGGAUACAAGAAAAAUUCACACUACAGUGACUAUACACAGUAAAAAAUGACAAUCAGAAAUAUAUAACCAUUAACUACGUUUAGAACACUAGAUUUCUAUAGGAAACAUACCAAGCUAGAAAUAUAUUGUCUGCAGUCAUCCAAUCACAUUGUUGAGAUCUUGACCGUCUGAUCAAGAUCGAUGGUUCACAUCUUGCAUUUGUGUUUGAACUCAUUUUACAAAUUCAAAGUGCAAGUAUUUCAAAUGAACUACAUGACUCUGUGGUUAUUUCAACUAUAGGGAAUCAAGGUUAUACAAAUUUCACAUAGUAAUUAAAAUUUCAGCAUGGCAAAUCACAGUUCCAACAAACCCAAUAGGCAAAAUAAAAAUCUAGGAUGAAGGUUUAUACACAAGAAAGAAGAAAUGUGGUAAAUUUUUACUAGGUAAGAUAAAUCAUUACGGUCAAUGAGAUAAUAAUAUCUAAUCAUAAAUCAUGUCUAACUGAUAGACUAUUUAUAUUUUUUUUUGGUAAUAGGGAGGGUCUAAGCCCCAAAAAGAAAAGAUUACAUAGAAAUUAUUCUAGGGGUGGUUAUCCCCAACUCAUCAGCUAACAAUAACUCCUUAAUCGGAAUAGGACAAGAGUCAUAAAAUAUGGUUUCACGAUUUAAAUGACAACCAAUAUUCGUCACAGCGUCUGCACACUUGUUUGAUUCUCUGUAAGCAUGCUCAAUUUUAAUUUCCCAAUCCAAAUCCAACAUUCGCCGAAUGUGUUUCACCAAAGGUAAUCCAACCAAGCUACUAAAUCUUCCGGUCUUGAUCGCCUGAACCACAACAACANNNNNNNNNNNNNNNNNNNNNNNNNNNNNNNNNNNNNNNNNNNNNNNNNNNNNNNNNNNNNNNNNNNNNNNNNNNNNNNNNNNNNNNNNNNNNNNNNNNNNNNNNNNNNNNNNNNNNNNNNNNNNNNNNNCCGAAUAAUACCUCCACAGCCUAUUUAUAUUUUAUAUAUAAAUCUUCUUUGACAGGUAGUUUUCCUUUAUCUCUUUGUAAUUCUAAGUUAUAACCAUUAAACUAACAUCAGAUUCAAUCUCAUAGUUCAAAGGAUGAAAAGGUCAUGCAAAUAGAGUCUUGGUCCAGCACAUCAUAUGACAAGAUUAACUAAUAUAUUAAUUAAUAAAUAAAUACUGAUUGCCAAUUAUAUUCAUAUCAUAUAUUAGGAGUCACAGGCAAAUUUAUUUGAAUAGAUAUUAUUGGUGAGAUUUGCAGUUGAAGAUUCAACCCUUCAUUUCUACUACUCUUAUCUUAUUCAUAAAAAACUAGGAUAUAAUAUUCAAAAAUCCAUAAAUCAUUGAUAAAAUUGGUCCCAAGUCCUAACGAGCCAACCAUGUCCUUGCCAAAGAAAUCACAAUUCAAAUUGUUGAUUUUGUUUCUAAGCACAUGGUUAGAAGCAAGUCCCUGUCACACUUGGCACACAUAAAAUGAUUUUUCUCCAAUUAUAGAGGCAUUGCUAGUGUGCAAGUUUGACACUUACAAAGUAGCAAAUAAGAACCACACUCUUUUGAAAGAGACAUGCCAUAUGCAAGGAAGCUCUUUUAGGCCUUAGUUAAGUUGAGUAUAGUAAUAGCACAAAACAAUCAAAAACUCAAAUAUAUAUUUGAAAUAAUAAUAAGCUGUUGUAUUUGUAGGAAGCUUAGUUAAGUAUUUAGGGUCUGGUUGGAUUGGUUUACAUAAAUAUAUAUACCGAUGUAAGUACUUGUGAGAUGAGAGUUUUUUUUUUUUUUAUAAGCUGUGAGAUGAGAGUUUAUGAAAACAUAUGACUAUCCAUAAGUUGUUUUCAGCCUGUUUUCAUAAGCUCUCCAUUAUAGCUUAUGAAAACAGCUCAUAACAUAACACUUAUAUGAUAAGCAUCAUUAAGUUUUUACCCAAACAAGACCUUAUUUAAAAACUAAUCUAAAAAACUUGCAUCAAAAUAAGCUGAAAGCAACUUAAGGGUACAAAGUCAAGCUCCAACCAGUGAACUGACACAUGGUUGUUUAAAUAUUAAUCUGAAAACUUACAUUGAAAUAAGCUAAAAGCAACUUAAGAGUAUAUAUCUCAUAAGUUAUUCUGUCAAGUGUAUUUAUGUUAUGAGAUAAGCCUAGAUAAACGCUUAAGCUAAACAUGCAGAUCAAUAAACUGUUCUGAAGUUUAACAUACCCCACCUGAACUUCAUGUUUAGUGCUGCCUAUUGACUGUGCAAGUCAAGAGACAUCGCUUCCUUAUUUAGCUCUGCAUAUGCAGACCUCAAACUCUGUCUUCUAAGCUUCUAUCUGUGUAAUCUUAAAGAAGAAGAAAAAUAAUGGCAGGUGCAUUGGCUAUAACAAGUCAAAGUGAACAAAAGAACAAUGGCAGGGUAACCCUGUAUGUUGUUCUCUCUUGUAUGAUGGCUGGUAUGGGAGGUGUAAUAUUUGGCUAUGACAUUGGUAUAACAGGUGGAGUGACAUCAAUGGAACCAUUUCUGAAUAAAUUCUUCCACAACAUAUACCUUAAGAUGAAAUCAGAUGAUAAAGUUAGCAACUAUUGCAUGUUUGAUAGUCAAUUAUUGACAUCUUUUACAUCCUCUCUUUAUGUUGCUGGUUUUGUUACUUCCUUUUUUGCUUCUUAUGUCACCAGAGUCUUUGGACGCAAGCCAUCCAUCGUUGCAGGUGGCGCUGCAUUUCUUGCCGGUACAGUUCUUGGUGCUGCUGCUUUUAACGUGUACAUGCUCAUAGUCGGUCGACUUUUGCUUGGAGUUGGGGUUGGUUUUGCAAACCAGGUAGCCAAUCUAUCUUUGCUUUUCACCCUUUUAUUCUCAAGCACUUGUAGAAAAAGAAAUAUCAAAACAAUAAGAGUUUUUAAAACAUUAGUGUUCCGUUAAAAUUAACUUCUUCAACAUCUCAGUUUUUCAGUAACUCUCAUUGUCCGUGAGGUAUUAGUUCGGUGUUAAGAGUUUGACCUUAUAACCUCAAAGGAUGGAGUUCAAAUUUCCUCAAAGACAAUUUGUAUAAGAACUAUUAGUACUACUUUAAUUAAUGAUAACAUCUCACUCCUGAAACAUCUAUAAGCUUAUAGGGACUUUUUGGACGUAAAUAAGCAUAAACUUAUUUUAGAUGAAAUUUGUAAAACUCCAAUAAACUAGAAGCUAAUCCAAACAUAACCCAACCAAUAUCUGGGAAAUUUAUCAAAAGCUCUAACAUAGACUUGUCUAAUAUCUAUUAUCAUUAUCCAAAUAAGAGUUAUAUUACAAUUUCUGUGCUGGUUUUGCAGGCAGUUCCGCUAUAUUUAUCUGAAAUGGCACUACCUAGAUUUAGAGGGGCAACAAACAAUGGCUUCCAAUUAAGCAUCGGUAUUGGUGCUUUGUCUGCUAACCUAAUCAACUAUGGAACAGAGAAGAUUAAAGGCAGUUAUGGUUGGCGCAUAUCCUUAGCCAUGGCAGCAGUUCCAGCCUCUUUCUUAACACUAGGUGCACUUUUCCUUCCAGAAACUCCCAAUAGCCUAAUCCAAACCAACCAAGAUCAUCAAAAGGCAAAACUAAUACUUCAACGAAUUCGAGGCAUAGAAGAUGUGCAAGAAGAACUCGACGACCUCACUAAAGCAAGUUCUUCUACUUCAAAAACCAGUUCACAAAAAUCAUAUAAGAUUAUAUUGAAAAGAAGAUAUAGACCUCAACUUGUAAUGGCAAUAGCAAUACCAUUUUUCCAACAAGUGACAGGGAUCAAUGUCAUUACUUUCUAUGCUCCUUUACUUUUCAGAACACUUGGGUUAGGAGAAAGCGCAUCGCUGUUAUCAUCUGUCAUGACAGCCAUAGUAGGUACUGGUUCAACCUUUAUAUCAAUGCUCAUAGUAGAUAAACUUGGAAGGAGAACCUUGUUUAUAGUCGGAGGCAUUCAAAUGUUGGCAUCACAGUGUAUAGUUGGAGGCAUAAUGGCAGUUCAUCUGAAAGAUCACGGUGGAUUAAGUAAAGGGUAUGCUUAUAUGGUUUUGGUAAUGAUAUGUAUCUAUGUUGCUGGAUUUGGAUGGUCGUGGGGUCCACUAGGUUGGUUAGUACCAAGUGAGAUUUUUCCAUUGGAGAUUAGAUCAGCUGGACAAAGUAUCACAGUAGCAGUGAGUUUUCUCUUCACAUUUGUUGUUGCUCAGACUUUUCUAUCCAUGCUUUGCCACUUCAAGUCAGGGAUUUUCUUCUUCUUUGGUGGUUGGGUGGUGGUGAUGACUUUGUUUGACACUCUUUAGGCCAAAGAUUUAGAAAUUUAGUGAUGUAGAUAUCGCAUAGUAUGACAUAACAUUAUGGCAUCGUUUGAUAUAUGUAGCCGGCCAUAUUUAGUAGGACAAGGUUCGGUUGUUGUUAUAAAACAUUAAUAACCAUUUUACAGGCGUUCUAGAUGAGAUUUGAACUUUGUCCUUGAAGUUACAUAGUCAAAACUCAUUUAUAAUUUAUUGUGUUCAAUUAUUGAACAGUAACAACGUCUAACGGAAAAUCACAGUAUCACAUUAUACCUACAUCAAUAAUAAUGGUUUCCAGUUUCAUUGUUUUGUAGUCAGNNN
This 6279-nucleotide long non-coding RNA is filed under the name Trifolium pratense (red clover). RNAcentral's name for it is "long non-coding RNA (TPRA_LNC001750)". Lineage: Eukaryota; Viridiplantae; Streptophyta; Magnoliopsida; Fabales; Fabaceae. The record is from RNAcentral.